RNAcentral lists this ribosomal RNA (467 nucleotides) under uncultured bacterium. Its description in RNAcentral is "partial 16S ribosomal RNA". It matches the Rfam family "Bacterial small subunit ribosomal RNA", at positions 28 to 507 of the family's 1533-position model. The record is from RNAcentral.
GAUGAACGCUGACAGAAUGCUUAACACAUGCAAGUCAACUUGAAUUUGGGUUUUUAACUUAGGUUUGGGUGGCGGACGGGUGAGUAACGCGUAAAGAACUUGCCUCACAGCUAGGGACAACAUUUGGAAACGAAUGCUAAUACCUAAUAUUAUGAUAAUAGGGCAUCCUAUAAUUAUGAAAGCUAUAAGCGCUGUGAGAGAGCUUUGCGUCCCAUUAGCUAGUUGGAGAGGUAACGGCUCACCAAGGCGAUGAUGGGUAGCCGGCCUGAGAGGGUGAUCGGCCACAAGGGGACUGAGACACGGCCCUUACUCCUACGGGAGGCAGCAGUGGGGAAUAUUGGACAAUGGACCAAGAGUCUGAUCCAGCAAUUCUGUGUGCACGAUGAGGUUUUUCGGAAUGUAAAGUGCUUUCAGUUGGGAAGAAAGAAAUGACGGUACCAACAGAAGAAGUGACGGCUAAAUACGUG